GCCUGAGUGGCUCAGUCAGUUAAGCAUCCGACUUCGGCUCAGGUCAUGAUCUCACAGUCUGUGGGUUCGAGUCCCACAUCAGGCU
RNAcentral lists this transfer RNA (85 nucleotides) under Felis catus (domestic cat). It matches the Rfam family "tRNA". From Rfam's summary of the family: Transfer RNA (tRNA) molecules are approximately 80 nucleotides in length. The record is from Rfam by way of RNAcentral. Lineage: Eukaryota; Metazoa; Chordata; Mammalia; Carnivora; Felidae.